This 785-nucleotide ribosomal RNA is filed under the name Listroderes victus. Its description in RNAcentral is "eukaryotic LSU rRNA". It matches the Rfam family "Eukaryotic large subunit ribosomal RNA", at positions 397 to 949 of the family's 3401-position model. The record is from RNAcentral. Lineage: Eukaryota; Metazoa; Arthropoda; Insecta; Coleoptera; Curculionidae.
ACGUGAAACCGUUUAGGGGUAAACCUGAGAAACCCGAAAGGUCGAAGGGAGAAAUUCAUUCGCGUUUCGCCGUCGGCGUGAGACGGUCGUGUGACGGAAAACGUUCGCGUUUUCCGCGCCUUCCGUUUUUCGAUCUGAUAGCGAACGCGUGCACUUUUCUCCUGGUAGGACGUCGCGAUCCGUUGGGUGUCGGUCUACGGCUCGCGGUGGAGCCCGGACGUACGGCUUGCCGUUAUGUUCGGACCCGCUUGUCCUGGCUGACUCGCUCGACGGUAUACGAAAGGUUUAAGGCCGCUUUUUAAGCGUUCGACUCGUUGCAAGCGCGUCAGAUGUGUCGGCGAUCGGACCUAGUGCCGGUUCUGACCUCUGGCGACUGUUGGCUGCGAAGUUCUCGGACAGUGCCUUGACCGAUCUGCGACGCUAUAGCUUUGGGUACUUUCAGGACCCGUCUUGAAACACGGACCAAGGAGUCUAGCAUGUGCGCGAGUCAUUGGGAAUCACUAAACCUAAAGGCGCAAUGAAAGUAAAGGUCCGCCUCGCGCGGACUGAGGGAGGACGGGCGGUUUACCCUUAAAAGUGGCCGCCCCGCACUCCCGGGGCGUCUCAUUCUCAUCGCGAGAAGAGGCGCACCAAGAGCGUACACGCUGGGACCCGAAAGAUGGUGAACUAUGCCUGGUCAGGACGAAGUCAGGGGAAACCCUGAUGGAGGUCCGUAGCGAUUCUGACGUGCAAAUCGAUCGUCGGAACUGGGUAUAGGGGCGAAAGACUAAUCGAACCAUCUAGUA